UCUAAACUGAUGGCAAAAAAAGAGAACUUCAUGGAUCACCUCGAGGGGUGAUUGUCCUCAAUUGAAGUUCAGGAGUAACUCCUCCUGCUGUUCAGCACCUGAACUUUCCUGUCUUGGGUGAACCGAGUAGCAUCCACAGAAAUGAAUAUGGGUGCCGCAUCCUCAGCGGAUAUCAAGUUUCUUCUUUUAAAAUACAUAGACUUGAGCAAAGAGCCAACGCUUAAUAAUAGCGUUUUGCCUGCAGGGGAAGGCAGGGUUUGUAUACGGGCAAGUACAGCAAUUGACCUAAUAAUAUGCGAAAAACGCUCCAAAAACACUGCUUUCUGCUGCUUGCGCAGAGCAAGGUAACGCCGUAGAGAGCUCCCUGAUGCUCGCACCGAGUUGCUGGUGAGCUGGGGACUACAGGACCAGGAUCUGCCGCGUCUGCAGCUGCUGGGAUUUUUAUAUUCAGCGGUUCCCACCAGCAGCCCUGGAGCGCGCUGGAGAUGCUUUGCCAGAAAUUAAGGCCAGGAGGGACCAUCAGCUCGGAGCUGGAUCCAGCAGAGAGCCUGCAGACUAGGUCCUCCAGAGACGGCGGGGUGCCGGGCGUGCUGGACCAGCACGGUUCCACCACCAAAAUCCUUCAGAAGAUGCCUUCGAUGCCAAAAGCCCCUUCAAGGUCUGCAAGUGGGUUUCUCUUUCACUCCAGCUUUGCAGAAGGCCAAGGUCUGCGCCCGGCUGCGGUACGAGGCGCCGCUCGAGGUGUCAGGGCGCUGACGGGUGAGGGGGGAGCCCAGCCGUUUGCUGCAUCGAGCGUGAUGCCCAGAGGCCUGGUGUGCACAUACUGCUCGGACCUGACUUCUUGUUCAGACAAGGAUUUGGAUCGGAAGGACUUCCUUUAUGCCGUUAUUGCAGUAUUUAGCAACCCGUAA
RNAcentral lists this long non-coding RNA (911 nucleotides) under Struthio camelus australis. RNAcentral's name for it is "lncRNA (ENSSCUG00000003279.1)". The record is from RNAcentral. Lineage: Eukaryota; Metazoa; Chordata; Aves; Struthioniformes; Struthionidae.